RNAcentral lists this long non-coding RNA (546 nucleotides) under Phoenix dactylifera (date palm). Its description in RNAcentral is "long non-coding RNA (PDAC_LNC019002)". The record is from RNAcentral. Lineage: Eukaryota; Viridiplantae; Streptophyta; Magnoliopsida; Arecales; Arecaceae.
ACUCAUGUUAAGGUAUUAUAUCUAUCACUAAAAGAAUUAGAUAACAGACAAAUAAAUGAAGUUUUCCCAUAACAUUCACACCUCUAUAGUAUCUAUCCAGAAAAUUGUCUUUGCACUUUCUUAAGUAUCAGCUAUCACCCAACUUUUGAGAAUAAUAAGGUUUCAGCAUUUUUUUCUCUUUAAUACAUUCUGAAAUCAUGUGCAUGGUAUUCACAUGUAAUUAGUCCAAACUUCCAAAAGUCAAUUCUUCCGAAAGGCAUCACCAAGUAUAUAUAGUGUGAGGAUCUAUGCGGACGUGUGUUUAGUUCUACAUCGGCUAUGCACUAGGUAGAUCUUAGGUAGUUAUAUAAGGCCAAAAAAUUCAAAUAAUACUUCCAGCUGGCCUUUUUGGAUGAGGUCCUGAGUUGUGACAAAUAGUAUCAGAGCAUAUCCAGCCCAUGGACUAUGUGGACUAGGAGACGCUGCAGCACAGACCCAUUAAGGCUGACCACGAGCCGAUCAUGGUGAUUGUGAUUAGAUUUGAAUGAAUUUGAACCCGACGAGGAC